Molecule: long non-coding RNA, 797 nt
Organism: Humulus lupulus (European hop)
Lineage: Eukaryota; Viridiplantae; Streptophyta; Magnoliopsida; Rosales; Cannabaceae
Exons: 3
Source: RefSeq, a predicted model, not a curated record
GAUUUUGAUGUUUUCUUAAGACCAUUGAUUGAUGAGUUAAAAGAAUUAUGGGUGACUGGUGUACAGACUCGAGAUGCAGUCGAUGGCAGUUUCUUCACUCUUCGGGCAGCUUUGAUGUGGACUAUAAACGAUUACCCAGCAAGGAGUAGCCUUUCUGGAUGGACUGCUCAAGCGCCUCCAAGUAAACGUGGACGCCAUAAGGGAUUGAACACGCGGGAAAAGAGGGAACAGUUGGGGCGUCCUCUCCCUCUCGAGUGGGAUGUGCGGGGGAGAACAUAUAAAGAGAUCGGAGAGUACAGCUCAAAUUUCUCAAGAGAGCUCGGAUUACUUGUUCGACAGUACACAGAUCCGGACUGUCCUCAAUGGUCAAAAGUACCAAAUGCCUCGAAAGAAAGAAUACUUGCACAUUUGGAAGUAAGUAGUUUAUGUAUUUUUAUGUUAAUUCUCAUUUUAUGUUAUAUAUGAUAUUUACUAAUAAAUGUUUGUAAAUUAGGAUGAUUUGUUUGAUAUUGGGCGUACUAGAUAUGGAGAAGGGCAUAUGCCUGGGAUCUUGAGAGGCAUUGAUACUUCGUGUGCUAAAAAGUAUUCUGACUGGAAGUACGAUAUUAAAGAGCACUUAACGAUUAAUGGGCCACAAAAUCGUUAUGGUGGUUGCACGGAUACGCAGUGGCAAAAAGCAAUUGAUUUUUUCCGUCGCCCAGAAAUUACGAAACGUUCUGUGGUCAACAAGGAAAAUAGAAAGAAACUGAAAGAGCUUAGCUAUGGAGGUUCUCAGUCAAUCCCAGCCUUACGCUAUA